RNAcentral lists this ribosomal RNA (253 nucleotides) under uncultured bacterium. RNAcentral's name for it is "partial 16S ribosomal RNA". It matches the Rfam family "Bacterial small subunit ribosomal RNA", at positions 524 to 776 of the family's 1533-position model. The record is from RNAcentral.
UACGGAGGGUGCAAGCAUUAAUCGGAUUUAUUGGGCGUAAAGGGCGCGUAGGCGGAGAUAAAAGUCAGAUGUGAAAUCCCGGGGCUCAACCUCGGAACUGCAUUUGAAACUUUAUCCCUUGAGGGUAGGCGGAGAAAACGGAAUUCCACAAGUAGCGGUGAAAUGCGUAGAUAUGUGGAAGAACACCGGUGGCGAAGGCGGUUUUCUAGCUUAUUCCUGACGCUGAGGCGCGAAAGCAAGGGGAUCAAACAGG